GAAACGAUCGCUAAUACCGCAUGACAUAGCGGAAUCGCAUGGUUCUGUUAUCAAAGAUUUAUCGCUGAUAGAUGGGCUCGCGUCCGAUUAGAUAGUUGGUGGGGUAACGGCCUACCAAGUCGACGAUCGGUAGCCGGACUGAGAGGUCGAACGGCCACAUUGGGACUGAGACACGGCCCAGACUCCUACGGGAGGCAGCAGUGGGGGAUAUUGCACAAUGGGGGAAACCCUGAUGCAGCGACGCCGCGUGAGGGAAGACGGUCCUUGGAUUGUAAACCUCUGUCUUCGGGGACGAAACGAGACGGUACCCGAGGAGGAAGCCACGGCUAACUACGUGCCAGCAGCCGCGGUAAUACGUAGGUGGCAAGCGUUGCCCGGAAUUACUGGGUGUAAAGGGAGCGUAGGCGGGCAGGCAAGUCAGGCGUGAAAUAUAUCGGCUCAACCGGUAACGGCGCUUGAAACUGCAGGUCUUGAGUGAAGUAGAGGUUGGCGGAAUUCCUAGUGUAGCGGUGAAAUGCGUAGAUAUUAGGAGGAACACCAGUGGCGAAGGCGGCCAACUGGGCUUUUACUGACGCUGAGGCUCGAAAGUGUGGGGAGCAAACAGGAUUAGAUACCCUGGUAGUCCACACCGUAAACGAUGAUUGCUAGGUGUGGGGGGACUGACCCCUUCCGUGCC
Molecule: ribosomal RNA, 676 nt
Filed under: uncultured bacterium
Lineage: Bacteria
Description: bacterial SSU rRNA
Rfam family: Bacterial small subunit ribosomal RNA
Source: RNAcentral